RNAcentral lists this long non-coding RNA (561 nucleotides) under Vigna radiata. RNAcentral's name for it is "long non-coding RNA (VRAD_LNC015126)". Lineage: Eukaryota; Viridiplantae; Streptophyta; Magnoliopsida; Fabales; Fabaceae. The record is from RNAcentral.
UGUGAAUUGUUCACUAGCUGUGUGAACAGAUGCAUGAUGAUUUAUGAUUGUGAUUAUGAUGCUAAGCAGGGUGUAUGAAUUAUAUUUGAGAUGUUGAGAGAGCAUAGCUGUUUGAGGUUUUGAGCUCCAGAGUCUUUGUUGAUAUAUUUACUAUUUUGUGGUGUUGAUAAAGGUUCAAGUUUGGGGUUGUUGGGGGAAAUUGAAAGGCAAAAGAAAGGCAUUGAGCUCAAGUGUUGAAUGAAAAAAAAAAAAGCAUGAGAAAAGAAAGAAAAGAAAAAGAAAAAGCAUGAAAGGUGAACUCAAUGUAAAAGAAAAAGGAAAAAGGGAAAGCUAGGAAUGAGUGAGAUUGGUAAAAAGAGAGUUUGUGCUUCAACUAUGAUUACGUAAAUAACUCUAUUAACUCAAGGAUUUUGUGAUCUGAAAUACCAAUGUUUCUUGUUAAGAACAACCACAGUAUAAGCCUUGAAAAAGUCCUUGUGAUGACCUUUGUGUAUAAAGAUGUUGAUUGUAUUAGAUGAAUGUCAAUUUUGUUUCAUGAGAUAGGUGAAUAGUAGAGAGAAG